UACAGAGGUCCCAAGCGUUGUUCGGAUUCACUGGGCGUAAAGGGUGCGUAGGCGGUUGGGUAAGUCUGAUGUGAAAUCUCACAGCUUAACUGUGAAACUGCAUUGGAUACUAUCCAACUCGAGGAAUGGAGGGGAGACUGGAAUACUUGGUGUAGCAGUGAAAUGCGUAGAUAUCAAGUGGAACACCAGUGGCGAAGGCGAGUCUCUGGACAUUACCUGACGCUGAGGAGCGAAAGUGUGGGGAGCGAACAGG
This 253-nucleotide ribosomal RNA is filed under the name uncultured bacterium. Its description in RNAcentral is "partial 16S ribosomal RNA". It matches the Rfam family "Bacterial small subunit ribosomal RNA", at positions 524 to 776 of the family's 1533-position model. The record is from RNAcentral.